GUGUCAGCCGCCGCGGUAAUACGUAGGGUGCGAGCGUUGUCCGGAAUUAUUGGGCGUAAAGAGCUUGUAGGCGGUUUGUCGCGUCUGCCGUGAAAAUUCGAGGCUCAACCUCGAACUUGCGGUGGGUACGGGCAGACUAGAGUGUGGUAGGGGAGACUGGAAUUCCUGGUGUAGCGGUGAAAUGCGCAGAUAUCAGGAGGAACACCGAUGGCGAAGGCAGGUCUCUGGGCCACUACUGACGCUGAGAAGCGAAAGCAUGGGGAGCGAACAGGAUUAGAUACCCCGGUAGUCC
This 292-nucleotide ribosomal RNA is filed under the name uncultured bacterium. RNAcentral's name for it is "partial 16S ribosomal RNA". It matches the Rfam family "Bacterial small subunit ribosomal RNA", at positions 505 to 796 of the family's 1533-position model. The record is from RNAcentral.